This 330-nucleotide ribosomal RNA is filed under the name uncultured bacterium. RNAcentral's name for it is "bacterial SSU rRNA". It matches the Rfam family "Bacterial small subunit ribosomal RNA", at positions 568 to 898 of the family's 1533-position model. The record is from RNAcentral.
UGCGUAGGCGGCUUUUUAAGUUUGGUGUGAAAUCUCCCGGCUCAACUGGGAGGGUGCGCCGAAUACUGAGAGGCUAGAGUGUGGGAGAGGAAAGUGGAAUUCCUGGUGUAGCGGUGAAAUGCGUAGAUAUCAGGAGGAACACCGGUGGUGUAAACGGCUUUCUGGACCAUAACUGGCGCUGAGGCACGAAAGCGUGGGUAGCAAACAGGAUUAGAUACCCUGGUAGUCCACGCCCUAAACGAUGCAUAUUUGGUGUGGGCCAUUCAUUUGGUCUGUGCCGGAGCUAACGCGUUAAAUAUGCCGCCUGGGGAGUACAGUCGCAAGGCUGAA